AACGUAGGAGACAAACGUUAUCCGGAGUUACUGGGCGUAAAGGGCUCGUAGGCGGCUUUUCAAGUGACGGGUGAAAUCCCUCGGCUUAACCGAGGAACUGCCUGUCAGACUGGAAGGCUUGAGACCGGGAGAGGUGAGUGGAAUUCCCAGUGUAGCGGUGAAAUGCGUAGAUAUUGGGAGGAACACCAGUGGCGAAGGCGGCUCACUGGACCGGAACUGACGCUGAGGCGCGAAAGCGUGGGGAGCAAACAGG
This 253-nucleotide ribosomal RNA is filed under the name uncultured bacterium. RNAcentral's name for it is "partial 16S ribosomal RNA". It matches the Rfam family "Bacterial small subunit ribosomal RNA", at positions 524 to 776 of the family's 1533-position model. The record is from RNAcentral.